Pecten maximus is the source of this 1978-nucleotide long non-coding RNA. RefSeq lists it as uncharacterized. Lineage: Eukaryota; Metazoa; Mollusca; Bivalvia; Pectinida; Pectinidae. The record is from RefSeq and is a predicted model, not a curated record. The transcript has 2 exons.
CUGUAACUGUGUAGAAGGAAAUGUUGACCAAUAGGUUCUCUACAGCAAUAUUACCACCAUGUGGGUGGUCAGAUACUCACAGUAAUAGUACCACAAUGUGGGUGGUCAGAUACUCACAGUAAUAGUACCACAAUGUGGGUGGUCAGAUACUCACAGUAAUAGUACCACAAUGUGGGUGGUCAGAUACUCACAGUAAUAGUACCACAAUGUGGGUGGUCAGAUACUCACAGCCAUAGUACCACAAUGUGGGUGGUCAGAUACUCACAGUAAUAGUACCACAAUGUGGGUGGUCAGAUACUCACAGUAAUAGAACCACAAUGUUGGUGGUCAGAUACUCACAGUAAUAGUACCACAAUGUGGGUGGUCAGAUACUCACAGUAAUAGUACCACAAUGUGGGUGGUCAGAUACUCACAGUAAUAGUACCACAAUGUGGGUGGUCAGAUACUCACAGUAAUAGUACCACAAUGUGGGUGGUCAGAUACUCACAGCCAUAGUACCACAAUGUGGGUGGUCAGAUACUCACAGCAAUAGAACCACAAUGUGGGUGGUCAGAUACUCACAGUAAUAGAACCACAAUGUGGGUGGUCAGAUAAUCACAGUAAUAGUACCACAAUGUGGGUGGUCAGAUACUCACAGCCAUAGUACCACAAUGUGGGUGGUCAGAUACUCACAGUAAUAGAACCACAAUGUGGGUGGUCAGAUACUCACAGUAAUAGAACCACAAUGUGGGUGGUCAGAUACUCACAGCAAUAGAACCACAAUGUGGGUGGUCAGAUACUCACAGCAAUAGAACCACAAUGUGGGUGGUCAGAUACUCACAGCCAUAGUACCACAAUGUGGGUGGUCAGAUACUCACAGUAAUAGUACCACAAUGUGGGUGGUCAGAUACUCACAGUAAUAGAACCACAAUGUGGGUGGUCAGAUACUCACAGCCAUAGUACCACAAUGUGGGUGGUCAGAUACUCACAGCAAUAGAACCACAAUGUGGGUGGUCAGAUACUUACAGUAAUAGUACCACCAUGUGGGUGGUCGGGUGGCACUGUGGUAACAUACUCACCUUUGACCUAUAGGUUUCACCUGCUGGUCCUGACAGAUUUUCCCUGGGUACUCUGGUUUCCUACCACAGACAUUGACCUUUGACCUAUAGGUUUCACCUGCUGGUCCUGACAGAUUUUCCCUGGGUACUCUGGUUUCCUACCACAGACAUUGACCUUUGACCUAUAGGUUUCACCUGCUGGUCCUGACAGAUUUUCCCUGGGUACUCUGGUUUCCUACCACAGACAUUGACCUUUGACCUAUAGGUUUCACCUGCUGGUCCCGACAGAUUUUCCCUGGGUACUCUGGUUUCCUACCACAAACAUGUCCCUUACACACUUCUAUUGAGGUCAACAUUUAGAGUGAUAAGUAUCAGUUGAUAACUUAUUUCACACUUGUUGUAAAAUAGAUAGAUUUACAUACUGUACUAGUAGAGAUUGAGUUGACAUGUAAAUGUUUGUGUUCUAUUUAUACCCUUCUGUAAUGGUUUCCCAUUACUAUAGGUAUUUGUCAUAUAAAUGUGAUGGAAACAAUAAUCCUUAUACAUUGUAGAUGUGCGUUAUCUAUAACAGGUAGAAUUUACCUCCCCAUUUUGAAAGCUAAAUUUACCCCGACCCAGUGUUACAAGACUGCAAUAAGGAAUUCAAAUUUCCAUACAGUUUUUUCGUCCGGGUCCAGGGUCCAUUGAAUUAGGAUUUUUUUAUGCAACAAAAUGUGAAAUUGGGAAAAUAGAGGAAAGUGAAAUUCAAACAAAUUCAUGUUCUUUUUUAUUUCAUUUAGUACUGACAUCAUUCUGUUAUUUAUUCAACUUUCCACAUCAAGUAUAUUUAAUCUUGAAAAAUUGACCUUUGUAUGGGGAAUUUUCAGUGGCAAAUUAGGAACUUUCACAAGAUUUUCUUUAGGGGAAUGGGUUUAUUUUAAUGGACCCAGAUUCUAUUGUAG